CAGCCGCCGCGGGAAUACGGAGGGUGCAAGCGUUAAUCGGAAUUACUGGGCGUAAAGCGUGCGUAGGCGGUUCGUUAAGUCUGUUGUGAAAGCCCCGGGCUCAACCUGGGAAUGGCAAUGGAUACUGGCGAGCUAGAGUGUGUCAGAGGAUGGUGGAAUUCCCGGUGUAGCGGUGAAAUGCGUAGAGAUCGGGAGGAACAUCAGUGGCGAAGGCGGCCAUCUGGGACAACACUGACGCUGAGGCACGAAAGCGUGGGGAGCAAACAGGAUUAGAUACCCCAGUAGUCCCUGUCUCUUAUAC
This 301-nucleotide ribosomal RNA is filed under the name uncultured bacterium. RNAcentral describes it as "partial 16S ribosomal RNA". It matches the Rfam family "Bacterial small subunit ribosomal RNA", at positions 509 to 807 of the family's 1533-position model. The record is from RNAcentral.